GUCUCUUUGGAGACAUAAGAUUAAAAUGAUACUGAUAAGAUUUGCAUGGGCCUUAUGCAAAGAUAACACAAAAAAUGUAGAAAUGGUCCACAUUAAA
This 97-nucleotide small nuclear RNA is filed under the name Nelumbo nucifera (sacred lotus). The record is from RNAcentral. Lineage: Eukaryota; Viridiplantae; Streptophyta; Magnoliopsida; Proteales; Nelumbonaceae.